UACGUAGGGGGCAAGCGUUAUCCGGAAUUACUGGGUGUAAAGGGAGCGUAGACGGUAAUGUAAGUCUGGAGUGAAAGGCGGGGGCCCAACCCCCGGACUGCUCUGGAAACUAUGUUACUAGAGUGCAGGAGAGGUAAGCGGAAUUCCUAGUGUAGCGGUGAAAUGCGUAGAAAUUAGGAGGAACACCAGUGGCGAAGGCGGCUUACUGGACUGUAACUGACGUUGAGGCUCGAAAGCGUGGGGAGCAAACAGG
RNAcentral lists this ribosomal RNA (253 nucleotides) under uncultured bacterium. Its description in RNAcentral is "partial 16S ribosomal RNA". It matches the Rfam family "Bacterial small subunit ribosomal RNA", at positions 524 to 776 of the family's 1533-position model. The record is from RNAcentral.